UACCUCAUAGUAUUAUUGAAUGGCAUCAUUUAAUAAUUAAAGUUCCAACGGUACAAGAUGAGCAUGCGUCCUAUUAGCUAGUUGGUGUGGUAACGGCAUACCAAGGCUACGAUAGGUAGGGGUCCUGAGAGGGAGAUCCCCCACACUGGUACUGAGACACGGACCAGACUCCUACGGGAGGCAGCAGUGAGGAAUAUUGGACAAUGGGCGCAAGCCUGAUCCAGCCAUGCCGCGUGCAGGAAGACGCAUCUAUGGUGUGUAAACUGCUUUUGUACGGGAAGAAACACUCCCUCGUGAGGGAGCUUGACGGUACCGUAAGAAUAAGGAUCGGCUAACUCCGUGCCAGCAGCCGCGGUAAUACGGAGGAUCCAAGCGUUAUCCGGAAUCAUUGGGUUUAAAGGGUCCGUAGGCGGUUUAAUAAGUCAGUGGUGAAAGCCCAUCGCUCAACGAUGGAACGGCCAUUGAUACUGUUAGACUUGAAUUACAAGGAAGUAACUAGAAUAUGUAGUGUAGCGGUGAAAUGCUUAGAUAUUACAUGGAAUACCAAUUGCGAAGGC
Molecule: ribosomal RNA, 557 nt
Filed under: Flavobacterium sp. AO2_25
Lineage: Bacteria; Pseudomonadati; Bacteroidota; Flavobacteriia; Flavobacteriales; Flavobacteriaceae
Description: bacterial SSU rRNA
Rfam family: Bacterial small subunit ribosomal RNA
Source: RNAcentral